RNAcentral lists this unclassified non-coding RNA (229 nucleotides) under Hevea brasiliensis (rubber tree). The record is from RNAcentral. Lineage: Eukaryota; Viridiplantae; Streptophyta; Magnoliopsida; Malpighiales; Euphorbiaceae.
GUUUAGUGUAUGAAAAUCAUCAGUCUUGAAUGUUGCCGCUCUCUACAUUUUGCUUGUAACUCAUUCAACUCUGCAGCCUACCUGGUUUCCUUUCUCUCUCUCUCUUCUCUUCAAUAAUGUAUCUUCUUCUCUCUAAACUGCUCCACCUCCUGCAUUUUGGGCCUGCAGAUUCUCACUUUGCUCCUCCUCCUGCUGCUGCUGCUCUUCCUGACGCUGCCGCUGCUCAUCA